Molecule: ribosomal RNA, 467 nt
Filed under: uncultured bacterium
Lineage: Bacteria
Description: partial 16S ribosomal RNA
Rfam family: Bacterial small subunit ribosomal RNA
Source: RNAcentral
GACGAACGCUGGCGGCGUGCUUAACACAUGCCAGUCGAACGGAAAGGCCUCUUUCGGGGGGUACUCGAGUGGCGAACGGGUGAGUAACACGUGAGUAACAUGCCCUUGACUUUGGGAUAACUUCAGGAAACUGGGGCUAAUACCGGAUAGGAGCUCCUGCUGCAUGGUGGGGGUUGGAAAGUUUCGGCGGUUGGGGAUGGACUCGCGGCUUAUCAGCUUGUUGGUGGGGUAGUGGCUUACCAAGGCUUUGACGGGUAGCCGGCCUGAGAGGGUGACCGGCCACAUUGGGACUGAGAUACGGCCCAGACUCCGACGGGAGGCAGCAGUGGGGAAUAUUGCACAAUGGGUGGAAGCCUGAUGCAGCAACGCCGUGUGCGGGAUGACGGCCUUCGGGUUGUAAACCGCUUUCGCUCAUGACGAAGCUUUGUGUGACGGUAGUGGGUAAAGAAGCACCGGCUAACUACGUG